CUAUUUGAAAGGUAGUUUACCUGGUUAAUAGAAAUGCAUAAGUAUCACUAAAAAAAUAACAACUUUUCAGUUUCUGGUGGCGAAUGUAAAUGAUGCUAAUGAAUUUAAAGCUAUAUUGUGAAUUUGAGAAGGGGAGUCUGAAGCUUUCAAGAAAGAGUUUCACAAAAACUUUUAGUUAUAUUAGAGGAACUCAUGGCUGUAGGAAGUUCAAAAUAUUCCAUUUUCUUAGUUAAAUGAACGAAACAGAAAAUGUUAUCCAUUUCUUUUGUCUUAUGUGGAUCUUUAGUAAAUGGCAGCAUUGCUUUCGGCAAAAGAGAAUGGAAUUGUUGCUGUUUCUUUUGUAACAUGCUUUAUUCUAAUAAAACUAAAACCUUAGACCUUUUUUUGGAAGACCUUUGAUUCCAUAUAUUUCAAUAAAAUAUUCAACAAUACUACAAAUAAAUGAUUUCCUUUUUGGAAGCUCUUUGCUUACCCCUCCACUUCAUUUAGGUCUCUAUUUAAAAGUCUCUUUAUUUGAAAGGCUUUCCCUCAACACCUCAAGUUAACUAGCAUUCCUUCCCCAUCAUUCUAUCUCAUCCCUGUCCAACAGGAACUUUCUGUAAUGACAGAAAUGUUCUAUAUCUGCAUUCUCAAGUAUGCUAGCCACUAGCUUUAUGUGACCAUUGAGCUCUUGAAUUUUGGCUAAAGAGACUAAGGAACCGAAUUUUUAGCUUUAAAAAUAUUUACUAGGCACAUGAGCCUAGUGGCUGUCUUAAUAUUAUCACUUGAAAAUUAAGUAGGAAUUUUCUCUUUUACUCACUGCCAUAUCCCCAGCACCUAUAACACUGCCUGGCACAUAGGAGGUGUUUAAUAAAGGAUAAUGAGGAAAUUAAGACUUGUAGUUAUGAGAAGGUUCUUGAGGUAGUUAAGCAGGAUCAGAACUGGAACCUUGGUGCCCAGGCCAACUCCCUGUCCUUUAUGCCCCUCCCCUAACAGCUACACCACACUGGCACUUUUAGCUUUAUAAUGAUAGCUGACAGAUAAUGCCAGAGCCACAUGUCAACUUAAUAGUGAUAGAGAGCCUGGGUUUUUUCCCUUUCACCUCUUUGUUGCCUCAUUGGAAUUUCACAUAUGGCCAGUCUUACUCUUUGAUGUAUAAAAAGGAGGGAUAAGGAACUUUCCAAUAGUUGAUAAAAAGUUUGACUGUAUAGUAGAAAACAGUCUAUACUGAAAGCCCUGAGGCUUCAUUUUUACUCUCCUGAGGUCUAGGUUAACAUGUUUUUUGCUUCAACUGGUUGAACUUUUGUCAAAAUAUUAAUCCUCUCUGACUUUGAGCCAUAAUAUAUUUUGUGUUUAUAGAUAGUACAGUAAAUCUAUUACUGUGUAUAUAUGAUAUACUUAAGAGGCUUUUAGACUAGACAAUUAUUUUUAAAAAUCCCAUAGUAAAUCAUUUUGUAAAAUAAGUAAAUUUGGGGCAAGACGUAUUCUUAAAAAAUAUACCUAUUAGCUACUUUUAAAGACAUAGAAUCUCAUUGUAUAUGGCUUCCUUGUUCAUAUUCUCUUUUACUGGUUAAUUGUGUAAGCUAUUGCCUUUAUAACAAAGGACAGUUGGAGAAAAAUUGGGCUUGGUUUGUGGCUCAGUGGUAGAGCACUUGCCUUGCAUGUGUGAGGCACUGCAUUCGUUCUCAGCACCACAUAUAAUAAAUGAAUAAAAUAAAGGUCUUAUCAAAAACUAAAAAAAAAAAAAAAGUUCACUUGACUUCAUGUGAACCAUAAAGGUUGUACAGUUGUUAAAAGUAGCAUACAUUCAGAAAGACUGGAAGAUAUUAUAGUUUUCUUUGUGUUUUGGGGGCAGAGAUAAGAGCAGUAGCUAUGUUCUUCAUUUGUAUAUAAAAGAACAUACAAAAGCUUUGGACUUAAUAAAACUUAAUAUUUAACUGAUCAUGUGGUCUUGGAUAGGUUCUUCACUUUCUAAACAUUAGUUUCCCCAUCUGUCAUCCAGAGAUAAAUGUACAUACCCAAACUACCUUAUAGAACUAUUGCAGUGAGUAAGUGAUAUAUGUAUGUGUAUGCUUUGUAAAUUAUAAAGUGGAAACCAGAACAGAAUAGCUCAUACCUGGGGAGUUAUGGAUAGCAGAUAUUCAUUUUAGGACUAUAGAAUGUAUGACAUGAUUAUGUAAUUUUGAAUCCUGGUUAGUGGAAGAACAAUCUGAAUCCAUGGGGGGCCUUACUAGGGAUUCACACUGUCAUGUUUUCAUUUUCAGUGUAAUGAAAAUGAAGUAUACUUUUGGAAGACGAACAGAUAUUUGGAUCCCACUUGGUCCUAGGUGUCUUUAUUCCCCCAACCUCCAUGGGGAAACUGAGGCAUGGGGAAGUCAGAAAAGACUUGUUCAAGUGAAGGGUAGAUAAUGGUAGAAUUAAAACUAGUGUCCAGAUCUUUUAUAAUAUUCUCCAAUUAAUAGGCACUUUACAUUUCAUUCUUUGCACCAGUUAAGAUUUUAUUGCCAACAUACUCAUUUUUUAGGAUUUCACAUUAUCUUAAUUGUCAAUUUUAAAACUUCAUUAUGAAUGCUAAUUAGAAAAACCUAUUGCUGAAGUGCAUUGGUGCAUGCAACUCAGUAACGGGGCUAUUGGUUGUAGAGUAAAAUCCAGCGUAGCAUCUGCAUUGCUCUGAGAUUAACUAAAUUGAUUUCUCUUCGACUAAUUAAACUGUGUUUUUCUGAGAAUAGUAUCAAAGAAAAAAUAUCUUGCAAACUUAGAUCUUUCCAGGAAUGAUCAUAAAAGUUGCUUAAUUAAAAAACCUUUGUAGAUUUUAAUAUUGUUCCUAAAUAAAGUAGAUCUCAAUUGUACCUUUUCAGUAGAUUAAUAGUAAGUAUAUUUUACCUCUUAUAUUUUCUUUGAAAAUAUAAGAAUUAUGACCACUUUCUUUCAGUCAAUGGUUUUACUCAGAUGUGAACCUCAAACAUUUUCCAAAUUCACAAUUCUGGGCCCUGGACUGCAGUUGUUGACUCAGAAACUCCUAGGUGAUUUCUUUAACACCCACUGACCUAAGUUUACAAAAAGUAAUAGGGAAUAUGCUAAAUAUAAACUAUCUUUUAUGAUUUAAUAGUAGCAAAGACAGAGACUUGAAAACUACUAAGACAAAAUAGGUUUGAUGAUAGUGAUUCCAGACAAUUUUAUCUUAUGACCACUUUUUUUUUUUUAAUAUGAAUUAAAAGAGAAAGUAGACAAACCCUAAACUUAAGUAGAAAUGUAAAACAAUGGGUGGCUAGCAUCUUUCUGCCUUAAGAAAUCAGAAGAAACCUGGAGAACCCAGUUUGGAGGUUACAAUCAAAUUAAAGAACCAGCACUUGAGUAGUGAUGAUCUUCAGUAUUUAUUAAUUGAUCUUAAUAGUUGGGGUGUUUCAAGUAUGCCAGUUUCAGGGCAGAGGAUGUGGAUCAUCUCCAGUGUGUGUGUGUCUGUCUGUCUGUCUCUCUCACACACACGCACACCUACAACAUCAGUUUUACAUACACACAAAUAAGCAACUGAUUAUGUAUGAAAAUAUGAUUCCAAGAUAAUAGAAAAAAGUUAUUUCUAUCAUUCAAACAUUUUUUAAAAAUAGGUAUUUAUUAAGACCCUAAAAAUUUUCAAAAUGAGAAAGAUGGCCCCUCCUCUCAGGACUUUACACUUGAAAUGUAACUGAGAUUCUAUGGAAAAGCCUCCAAUAUAUAAUCAGUAUCAGGGAGAAAACAGUGCUAUGGUUGGCUUCACUUUUGGUUAUCUUUCCUGCUCAAACUUUUCCUUAAAUGUAUUCUUUCUUUGGGAUUUUUAGAAAAGAGUUUAUAGUUUGUGUCUUAUUGAAGCUACUUAUCUAAACCAAAUGAAGGGACCCAUUAGAUGAGGCUUUAGACUUGGAGAGUUAUCUAGCCUGAUUUAAUUAAAGAGUUGCCCUUAUUUUGCCCUUGGGAUUAAGUAAGUAAUUUUCCACAGGAAGUGCCUUGUGUACUAAGCUAACCUUCUGCCUUCCACUUUGUGAGUCUUUGCCAAACAUUCUUGAAUCAGCAAAAAGAGGGGUUUGUAGAUCUCUCAUGUUGAAUAUCUAUAAAAAUAAAAUGCUAACCUUGUUUGGAAGAUAAUUUUGAGGAAAAAGUUAUUGUUUUGACUUCAACAAAAGCUUCUAAAGAUUAAGUGAUGUUAUGAAUUGAAUAGUUUCAGUGAUGUUUUUAGUUAGGCUCAACUAGAAUCUUGUAAUGUAGAUCUUUAUUUUAUUCUGUGACUGAUUUAGAAUAAUUGUGGCAAUUAAUUGAUAAUACUUGACUGAAGCAUUCAUUUUUAGUGGUCAUAAUUCCCUAAAACCAUAGAUCUGGUGUGGUGUUUGAAAUCUGACUUUCUUAAAUAAAUCUCUUCUGUAGGUGGCCUGCUCUGUGAAUGAAUAAUCCCUGAAGAAUGAAGAAGAUUAAACAGUUCUUGAAAGUUCUUUGAUGAACUUUGAUAAAUGGAUAAAGUAUUUAUAAUUUAUUAAAAAAAAAAAGGUCAAAGAUUUUCAGGUGUGUUUC
Molecule: long non-coding RNA, 4518 nt
Filed under: Marmota monax (woodchuck)
Lineage: Eukaryota; Metazoa; Chordata; Mammalia; Rodentia; Sciuridae
Source: RNAcentral